CUCAUGUUCCUUUUUCCUGAUGUUGCCAUCACUUGGUAUUGGUAUAUAUCAAGAAUAUAUAUGUAUAUAUAUAUAUAUAAUCAUUAUAAUUUAUGGCUCAGGCUAUGCAGGCUACUGGCAUCAUUAGGAUUUAGAAGCAAGUGCCACCUCAGUGCAAUCGCUUUCAAUGAAAAGGAAAUAAAAUGGUUUAAUUGAUCAAGAGGAAACAUGUCAUUAGAAAAGAGAAGAGGACACAGGACCUUUAGUGUGGUAUCAACAAGCUGCUGUAACAUCAAGCAGGACUAGGUUCAUAAAUCCAUCAACAUCUGCAUAAAUAUAUAACAAUAAUGACAUGAUGUGCUUUGAGAUCUGAUGUUUUUUGUCAUCCCAGAAACUUGUUUUUUAAAAACUGUGAGAGGAUCGCAGUGGCUGGAUCCUGGACUAAGCUCUCAUUGUGUGAUUUACUAUACAUUAUACAGCUUAUUAUACUUUAUAGCUUAUCAGACUGUCACUGACUUAUCCCACCUUCCGCUAGCAAAACUCAAUGUCUGCAUGGCCAAGAAGAGGUAGAAAAAAUUGAUUUUCCUGUCUAAAAUCCAACAUUUCUUUCUCCAAUAUCCAUUUACCUUUUGUCAAGUUCUGAGUGAGCUACAUCAAAGAAAUGUGCAUAAGUGUUUUGGCUUCUGCACUCCCAAUAUAUUAUCCACCUGAAAUAUCAUCGGAACAUCUGCAGCUGAGAUAUAGAGGCUCAUAGUGGAGUUACUGCGCAUUUUAAUUUUUCAUUACAGCAUUUUCAUCACACACAUGGACCUUGCUGCAUAUUCUGAAAAGGUCAAUUGUUGACAACAAAGUGAAAAAGUUUCGCAACAGUAACUGCACUGUGUUUUCAAAUCUUAUUGCCACAACAAUACACAGAUGCUGUCAUUGUGCUUGAGAGCAGAAAGCAAAUGUCGUUUUGGAAGUAGGCUGUGUUUUUGACCGCAGUUUGGAGGAUGCAUGCUGGAAUGCCUAAGAAAAGGCAGAAUUACUUGCAAAGUAGUGCUAUAUGUUUAUAGUUAUUGACUGUUGCUGUUUUUGGCAAACGUGCUGCUACAUGUGUCUAAAUUAGUUAAUAACAAAAUAUUAGUUUGUAUUCUGAACAGAGUUUGUAUCAUCAAUUAUUGGUGUCCUGCUGACUUUUUAAAACGUGUGUGUGUGUGUGUGUGUGUGUGUGUGUGUGUGUUAGUGUUACAGUGUUGGAGCUCACAGAAAUUAAAAACAUUCAUCAGAUCAUGACAGUGGUGCUGGGAAGCAUUGUAUUGUGGCACCCGGAACAUGAUCAGGGUAACCAUGACAACAGCAAUCAAACACACAGAUUAUGUUCCACAGCAAGAUUCCUCUCAUUUCCUGGUGCGUUGUGAUUCACUUACAAACUAUGUGAAGGGUGUACCGAGACAGAGAUCAUCAAAGGUGGUAAAAUACAUUUACCUUCAUUUUCUUUCACUUUGAUUGUCUGUGGUUAUCAUCUGUGUGCUGAUGCAAACUUUUCCUCUGUUUCACUUGUCACUAUCCAUUUUUUGUUUCCUUCUGUGAUGUUGCGGACACAUAUCAGACAUUGGAAGAAGUGCAUAAAGCGCUACAAAUGAUAGUUAUUGUUUGUUAUGGCCACAGUGGAGUUCUGGUUGGGUGAGGUUUGCCAUGUGCUGACAGGAAUGUAGUCAAGUAUUUCUUGGUUGUCUAAUACAUCAUAAAUGUUGUAUUGUACAUACAGUUCUUUCUAGAGACACCUUGUAUGACACCUACUGUACUUAGGAUAGACCAAACAUUGGAAUGUAUUUGAAAAUUAUUAACGACAUAAUUAAUGACAGAUGACAUGUCCCUCUUAAGAGGUUGAAAAACCUGAAUAAUGAAUUAAAGUGGCCCUUGAUAUUUCCACCGUGGUAUUCUAAUGAUAAUGAACUUUAUUUUUAUGGCAUUUUUCUUAAAAAAUGUCAACAAAAUGUUUUACAGACAAUGACAGAAAUCAAGCCACAGACCAAGCAAAAAGGAAAAAACACGCAGGUUGCAUUUUGGCUGAAGGUCAUGUGUUACUUUGAGCAGAGUGAUCGCUGUGCAGGAGAAUGCUCAAAAUACAAUUACAUAAAUAGUGCGGCAGAGUUUAGUUAAUUUUUGGGAAUAUAGGUGGUUUUGAAAAAGACCUGUAGUUUUUGAGGACAAUAGGAUCUGGUUUGGAUUUUUCUAAAAGCCAGAUGAAAAGACAUCAGUGGUGAGGGAGCUGUUGAUGACAGCUGCUGAUAUAAAACAGGUCUUUCAAAAUGUUGGGAGGGCAUUUUCUGUGGAAAUGGUGGAGGGUUUCAGUGACACAAAUAUCAUCUUUUAAAAGAGUUAGAAGUCAGACACCUAUUAAUCACAUAUUGUCGUAACAUAUUUGUGGUUUGUUGGCCAUCUGUUUGUGUUGAUUUUUCUGUUUUGGAUUAUUAAAUGACUGCACCAGUGUUUUGGCUUGUUUCAGCUCAUCUACAAAGCAUGCAUGCUGCAGUCACUGGUUUCACUUAAUUUCAUUAUAAUAUGAAACUUGCGUGAGAGAGCCAAUCCAUCACAAGUACCAUAUAGUGACAUAUGUUUGUUUUUUUGGUCAAAGUUGUUUUUCUCUGUGAGGUAAUGGACUGGAAAGCAUGGAUUGUUUUAUUCUGGGAAGAGGCAUCUGUGACUUCAGAGUCACCUAACAGCAGCCCUUAUAAAGAAUAGUAGGUGCAGCACAGGGUGGAGUAAGUAAAAAUUCAGGUCCAUCUUCAGGUAUCAUUUUGGAAUUUAUUUUCAAAGUUGUGGACCAUUCCCAGUGUGUUAAGAUUAAGAUAACCUUUAAUUAAUUAUUGUCCCAAAUUGUCUGUACCUGGAGAAAUUAUCAUAAAAAGAAAACAACAUGAUUGUAACUAUCUCAUUGCAUUUAUUAUUUUCUUUAAUAAAUAUCAGUUGCAAGUUUUUGCGUGUACAUUUAGUCAUUUGCUCAACUUUGCUUUUACAAUGAAUAUUAUAUUGUGUUGUGCACACACCCAUGCACUGUAUGCAGCUUUUCACAGUGACCGGUAGACAUGAGGGUGUGACUUCGAAACACAUUCCGGAAAACACUGUUGCUUAAUAUUUUUGAGUGAAAACCACAUUACUGUGACAGUUUCCUGUAAUGUGAGUUGCAACACAUUUUAUGAAUGGAAGGUUUUGACAAACUUUUGGGGUGUGAAUUUAAAAAAAGAGAAUUAACAAACAGGAAUUUGCUUUAACUUGUGCAGUAUCACACUCCUGCUGUCGGAGAAAACUGUCAUUGGCUGGAAGUUUCAUAUUGCAUGUUUUCUGUACCAUACUGUACACAAAAUAUUUUUAGGGACGUUUUUCGAUAAUAGUACUCUGACUAAAUUAAGUGAAAGUUGUCUCUAUUGCUUCUGUGUUUUAGCUUAGCACAGUUCUUCCAUCCAAAUGUUGAACAGUGUGGAAGAACAACAAAACACCUCACCAUGUGUGCAGAUUAUCACAGAGUAUAUAUUAAAUUUACAUUGUAUAUGUGCACCGUACUUGUGUAAAUCCUGUGUUUGCUGUGAUCUGCUUCUUCCAUGUACUCCUGGCCUGCACAGAGCACUGACCCCAACCCCAUCCAACACCUUUGGUAUGAAUUGGAUCACUGACUGCAAGCCAGGCCUCAUCGCCCCAAAUCAGUGCACAACCUCACUGAUGCUCUUAUGGCUGAAUGGUUCCAGGUUGCGUUCGACCGACCGUGAGGUUGUUUUGCGGUAAGCUCAAAGAGGCUUAUUUCACUUAAUCAAGACCGGUGGUGAAUCUAGACUGUGUACACAAGGUGAAAAUUUUUUAGUUUUGGCUUAUUAAGUCUCAAAUUGCUGCCACUGAAGUAUUCUUUACCUGUCUUUAUACCUGUCUUAUUCUAUUUUAACUUGUUUUUAUUUUCUAUUUUCUUGGCUCUUGGCUCUUUACUGGCUGUUUUUCGUUGUAUUUAAAUGUGUUGUGUUUGUGGUGUGUUUCUUUUGCACGUUGUCGCAAUGCUUUUGAUGCUUUGAAUUGCCUUGAAAUGUGAUAUAUAAAUUACCUUGCCUUGCCUCCCUAAUAAGCCGGCUCAGACACACCCCUGUGCUUACCUGCUCUCUCUCUGCUCCUCAGUCUAACGAUGCUGCUUUCUGCUGCUGUUGCUCCUGCAACACAGCGCAUCCUUGUGUGGGCUCUGUUCUUCCAAUCCCUGAGGGGGGAUUGGCAGUGAUCUCUCUCUCUGCUGCACAAUAUGUUUUCAUAGGGAAUAAUAGUACACAUAUCCUGGAUGCCAAAAACAAAUUGCAUUUACCUUUUCUCUUUAAACUCUAUAUUUUUAAUUUAUGAGAUGAGUCUGAACUAAGGUGGUGCCAAACACAAAUCACUCAGCACAGACCAUCUUAGUUCUUGCAUCUCUUUCAAGGUAAUCAAGUCAGAAGAGACAAUGUCUUGUUUCAGCUGCAUAAAACAAUUUCUCUGUACAUCACAGUCCAUCAUUUCUAAAACCAGACUUUGUUUUCCUCACCAGAUGAUGCUGUAAUAUCUUUUGCCACAUUUUUGUGUAAAUAAAAGUAAAAUUAGUAA
Long non-coding RNA from Siniperca chuatsi (mandarin fish), 4572 nucleotides. RefSeq lists it as uncharacterized. The transcript is spliced from 2 exons. NCBI's taxonomy places the organism in Eukaryota, Metazoa, Chordata, Actinopteri, Centrarchiformes, Sinipercidae. The record is from RefSeq and is a predicted model, not a curated record.